Molecule: ribosomal RNA, 122 nt
Filed under: Octodon degus (degu)
Lineage: Eukaryota; Metazoa; Chordata; Mammalia; Rodentia; Octodontidae
Source: RNAcentral
GUCUACGGCCAUACCACCCUGAAGGCACCCGAUUUUGUCUGAUCUCAGAAGCUAAGAAGGGUCGGGCCUGGUUAGCACUUAGUAUUUGGAUGGGAGGAAAGGAGAACAGGAAAAAAUAUUCA